Molecule: non-coding RNA, 2933 nt
Organism: Zootermopsis nevadensis
Lineage: Eukaryota; Metazoa; Arthropoda; Insecta; Blattodea; Termopsidae
Source: RefSeq, a predicted model, not a curated record
CGGCGCUACAUUGCACAUCGAUAGCACGAUAGUAAGAGUCGGUUAAUGUGUGCUGGGAAGGAAGCUCUUCCAUUUGGUUUUUGGAGGUGUUGGAGGUCACAGUUUCAGUAUGAGAGAAAAUCAUCCAUGCAGGUGCUGGCUUACACUUGAUGGAGAAGUUGAUGUUUUUCCCGAGGCCUGGUUUUCCUUGUGUAGAGAGGAUAUUGUUUGGAUGUGGAGGACGUGAGAUUGUACUAAGGAGAGAAUGGUGCAUCAUUAAGUGUUUUACUUGGAGAGAGGGGGGUUAAAGGACUUGCUGCCAAAUGAUUGCUGAACUGGGUUGAAUUGUUCCUUGCGCUUCGAGUUGUGGACAAUGUUGAAUCAGGAAGGAGAGGACCUAAAGGCGCGUUCUCACGAAUCAAGUUUAAUUGACCAAUUAUAGUUGAUCAACAAAAGUUGAAUGAAAUCUGUAGUGAGAACCUUUGUUUUGAUAGAGUUGAUCAACUUUUUAGUGGAUCAAGAAAAGUUUGACCCAGUCAAACUUUAUCAUUCAAGUGAUGAGUCAUCCGCCAUUUGCUUUCAAGUUGAAUCCUGUCUUGAAACGUGUGAACUUCAGUUGAUUGUCAAGUUUGCUUUCAACUGGUCACACCACUCCUGCAUGUGUUUUGUUUUUAGUUUUUUGUGUUGUGUUUUUAGUUAAAAAAUGAGCCUCAAGUGGUCUGAAAGUGUGAUGCUAAAAUUCUUAGAACUUUAUCAUAAGCAUGAUUGUUUUUGGAACCACCGACUGGAUAAAUAUAAAAAUAAAGAUGCAGGAGAAAAUGCUUUGGGUUCUAUUGUCAAAGAAAUGGAAAUUGCUGGUCUUAAUAUUGCUGAUCUGAAGAACAAAAUUAAGACGAUUAGAACGAUGUAUUAAGAAGAACGUUCAUUGGUUUGCAAAUAAAAAAAAGUGGAAUGGGAACAGAGGAAUCGAUUUCUUCUUAAUAUCCAUUGCCUCACCCAAAAACGACGUUUCUUACGAUUUUUGCUCAUUUUAAAUAAAAUUGUUUUUAGUUCUUUUAAUAAAGGAUACUAUCAGUACAGCUUCACGCACAGCUGCUUUCGACGCUUUUUUAACUGAAACUGUUGAUCAGUUUCUAUUGUAAAUGUGUGAACAAAAACUGAUUCAAGUCAUAUACAACUUUCGUUGGUCAACUAUAAUCGGUCGAUUAAACUUGAUUCGUGAGAACGCGCCUUUACUUUCUUCAACAAAGUACUUGGUUUGGACUUGCGGUGUAUCACCGCCAUUCGACAAAGUUGAUGGUUUCAUCGGCUGCCUUUGCUGUGUUCUGUUGUGAUAUCAAAUCUACGUGGAAGAUCCUCGAUGGAAGUAUCAUUUUUGGCAUCAGCUGUAAUUUGUGUAAGUUAUUCUUUCUUCUCCAACCCCAACCCCCUUAAGUGUUAUGGGCUGAAGAUUUUUGGUCCUAGCAGACAAACUCUUUUUAUAUGUAAUUAUUGUUUUUCUAGCCAAUGAUUUUAAUUCCGUAACCCAGUCAAUCUGAAUAUACUUUGACUGAUGAAAUAUUCUGAGGCUAAGAAACGAGGAAGGUGGAUAAUAAAUUAAUUAUACUGUUUUCUUUAUCCUUGUGUGGUUUGAUUACAUUUUUAAAUUAGGGAAUGUUUGGUACUUCAUUUCUUCUGUCCAUAGUUUUGUGGCUGCUGAUCUUGCUUUUGUGUGCAAGAUGGUUUGGUGUUCAGGUGAGCCAGCAUUUGUAAGAAGACUGAUAAAUUGCAAUAAAAAUUUUGAUAUAGCAUUAAAGUUUUCUUAUUUUGUGAUGUCACCUGUGUCUGACCUUUAUUAACCAUCAGUGAAUACUCAUGUGGUACAGACUGGGUACUAAGUGCACUUGCUGAGAGGAGAACAUCUGUCCUUUGUGUAUGUUUGGUACUUUGUUGUUCCACUGUUGGAUUUCUUAUUAAUUCCUUUAUUAGUCAUUUGAUUAAUGGUUGUAGUUAGCUGUUGCUUAUUCUACUUCACUUUUUGAUGUAAAUACGUUUAUAUAUUGAAGGGUCAUUCUGCAAAAAAAGUGACAGGAAAAUGUGUAACAUGGUUACCUAGGAAAUAUUAGCAAUUUGUAAAUAUGGACACAAUAUUGGUCAGCUUAUAUGCAUUAUGUUACCUAGGAAACGUCGUGUUUAUUCGGCAGUGUGUUGAAAGGAGAAGCUGAGAAUAGGGAAAACUGGUGAACUUUUUUGGGCAGAACGACGGACCUGCCGGAUAGAACACUAAAUAAUUACUGCUGUCAACAAUCUGCUUUCGUUAUUGCGGAAAGAGCUGAGCUGUGAAACGCUUAUAGAAGAAUGCGCUGUAGACUUGAUUUAAGCUACCACAGACCCAUCCUAAGUGUAAUUAAUUCAAGGUUCUAGUUUCAUCAUUAAAAAGAAGGCUCUGAUUCGUCUGAACAGGACAGGAGCAGUGCGUGCCAGUGCAGGAGGCUUUGGAUAUCUUAAAGAAUGGAUUUGGUGGGCAGGAUUACUUUCAAGCUAACUGUUGUUGUUGUUGGUGGUGGUGAUGGUACUAGGUGCCGUCAUGGCUGCUAGAAGUAUAUUUUCAUACUCACCAUGGGCUAGUUCGGUGGACUAAUGGUUAGCGUGAUCGCCACUGGACCCAUUGUCCUCGGGUUCAAACCCGGCCGAGGUCGAUGGAUUUUUUUAAGGGUGACAAAAAUCCGUACCACAACUUCCUUUGGAGGGGAAGUAAAGCUGGCAGCCCCUUGUUGUUCAUUUACGGCAUGUUGAAGAACCUUGUGGGCAUGAACGAGAUGUUCAUGAUGGGCUUGUUCAUCCAGACUGGUGGCAACUAGUUUUCUAGUCUUUGACUUAAAUAUAUUAGACAUAAUUUUUAAACAAAUGAUGUUCUGUGUGUUGCUAAAGUUUGUGCUUUGUUUAAAAUGAAUUAUAAGCAUAUUGCAAAACUA